RNAcentral lists this ribosomal RNA (450 nucleotides) under Salmonella enterica. RNAcentral describes it as "bacterial SSU rRNA". It matches the Rfam family "Bacterial small subunit ribosomal RNA", at positions 1 to 447 of the family's 1533-position model. Lineage: Bacteria; Pseudomonadati; Pseudomonadota; Gammaproteobacteria; Enterobacterales; Enterobacteriaceae. The record is from RNAcentral.
AAAUUGAAGAGUUUGAUCAUGGCUCAGAUUGAACGCUGGCGGCAGGCCUAACACAUGCAAGUCGAACGGUAACAGGAAGCAGCUUGCUGCUUUGCUGACGAGUGGCGGACGGGUGAGUAAUGUCUGGGAAACUGCCUGAUGGAGGGGGAUAACUACUGGAAACGGUGGCUAAUACCGCAUAACGUCGCAAGACCAAAGAGGGGGACCUUCGGGCCUCUUGCCAUCAGAUGUGCCCAGAUGGGAUUAGCUUGUUGGUAAGGUAACGGCUCACCAAGGCGACGAUCCCUAGCUGGUCUGAGAGGAUGACCAGCCACACUGGAACUGAGACACGGUCCAGACUCCUACGGGAGGCAGCAGUGGGGAAUAUUGCACAAUGGGCGCAAGCCUGAUGCAGCCAUGCCGCGUGUAUGAAGAAGGCCUUCGGGUUGUAAAGUACUUUCAGCGGGGAGG